GAUGAACGCUGGCGGCGUGCCUAAUACAUGCAAGUCGAGCGAACGGACGAGAAGCUUGCUUCUCUGAUGUUAGCGGCGGACGGGUGAGUAACACGUGGAUAACCUACCUAUAAGACUGGGAUAACUUCGGGAAACCGUAGCUAAUACCGGAUAAUAUUUUGAACCGCAUGGUUCAAAAGUGAAAGACGGUCUUGCUGUCACUUAUAGAUGGAUCCGCGCUGCAUUAGCUAGUUGGUAAGGUAACGGCUUACCAAGGCAACGAUGCAUAGCCGACCUGAGAGGGUGCUCGGCCACACUGGAACUGGGACACGGUCCAGACUCCUACGGGAGGCAGCAGUAGGGAAUCUUCCGCAAUGGGCGAAAGCCUGACGGAGCAACGCCGCGUGAGUGAUGAAGGUCUUCGGGUCGUAAAACUCUGUUAUUAGGGAAGAACAUAUGUGUAAGUAACUGUGCACAUCUUGACGGUACCUAAUCAGAAAGCCACGGCUAACUACGUG
Molecule: ribosomal RNA, 497 nt
Filed under: uncultured bacterium
Lineage: Bacteria
Description: partial 16S ribosomal RNA
Rfam family: Bacterial small subunit ribosomal RNA
Source: RNAcentral